CCCAACAGGGAUUGCCCUAGUAACGGCGAGUGAAGCGGCAACAGCUCAAAUUUGAAAUCUGGCUUCGGCCCGAGUUGUAAUUUGUAGAGGAAGCUUUAGGCGCGGCACCUUCUGAGUCCCCUGGAACGGGGCGCCAUAGAGGGUGAGAGCCCCGUAUAGUUGGAUGCCUAGCCUGUGUAAAGCUCCUUCGACGAGUCGAGUAGUUUGGGAAUGCUGCUCAAAAUGGGAGGUAAAUUUCUUCUAAAGCUAAAUAUUGGCCAGAGACCGAUAGCGCACAAGUAGAGUGAUCGAAAGAUGAAAAGCACUUUGAAAAGAGGGUUAAAUAGCACGUGAAAUUGUUGAAAGGGAAGCGCUUGUGACCAGACUUGCGCCGGGCGGAUCAUCCGGUGUUCUCACCGGUGCACUCCGCCCGGCUCAGGCCAGCAUCGGUUCUCGUGGGGGGAUAAAGGCCCUGGGAACGUAGCUCCUCCGGGAGUGUUAUAGCCCAGGGUGUAAUGCCCUCGCGGGGACCGAGGUUCGCGCAUCUGCAAGGAUGCUGGCGUAAUGGUCAUCAGCGACCCGUCUUGAAACACGGACCAAGGAGUCAAGGUUUUGCGCGAGUGUUUGGGUGUUAAACCCGCACGCGUAAUGAAAGUGAACGUAGGUGAGAGCUUCGGCGCAUCAUCGACCGAUCCUGAUGUAUUCGGAUGGAUUUGAGUAGGAGCGUUAAGCCUUGGACCCGAAAGAUGGUGAACUAUGCUUGGAUAGGGUGAAGCCAGAGGAAACUCUGGUGGAGGCUCGCAGCGGUUCUGACGUGCAAAUCGAUCGUCAAAUCUGAGCAUGGGGCGAAAGACUAAUCGA
This 840-nucleotide ribosomal RNA is filed under the name Collariella pachypodioides. RNAcentral's name for it is "LSU rRNA". It matches the Rfam family "Eukaryotic large subunit ribosomal RNA", at positions 64 to 938 of the family's 3401-position model. Lineage: Eukaryota; Fungi; Ascomycota; Sordariomycetes; Sordariales; Chaetomiaceae. The record is from RNAcentral.